This is a long non-coding RNA of Gallus gallus (chicken), 2818 nucleotides long. The record is from Ensembl. Lineage: Eukaryota; Metazoa; Chordata; Aves; Galliformes; Phasianidae.
GGAGGGGGGAGGGAAGAAGCACAACCUAACAUGCUGUUCGGGGGCGGAGGCGCUUGCGGUAGCCAAUAGGCAUCCGGCUGCCGAGAGAGAGUGACGUCUCCACUUAACCAAUCGAAGCGCUGGGCGAGAGAAGGCGGGAGCGAUCGUCGCACCGCUGACCAAUGGGAGAAGCCAUCCCUUUGACCAACAGCUGCGCGCCCCAAUAGGACGGCCGCAUAGCGGGCCGGCGAGCGCCGCUUCACCUAUAGGAAAUUCGCCAUGGUGCCGGGAGAAGUUGCAGCAACCAACAGAAGGCAGUCUGCAAAAGACCACUGAGAGAAGUGGGAAUUCCCAUUUUUGAGAUGAAUUCAGCAACCCUGCUGCUGCUAGACCUACAGGCAGGGAGGGGAGAUGUGGAUGGAACACGCAGCACGUAUGGCAGAAUUAGUGCAUGUGGUACAACAUCCCCAUGCCUGAGGACAGGGAGUGCAGCUAAGGACACGGUGGAGUUUACAAGAGUACUUCACAUGUUGAGAUGCUUUAUAGUCCCCCCUGUGACUAGCCUAGCAAAAACCAUAUGUGAAAUAUAAAUAUACUGGGACUUAAAAAUUGAGUUGUAUUCCAGCCUUUUAAGUUAAUUUUAUAACAUGCUGCAUCCGGGGGCUUAAUGUGUUCUGUAAUGUGGUGCUAGCUGAGUAGCACCACAUAAAUGUGGUAUGUACUGGAGGCACUAGACGGUCUGAUGGAAGAGGAUAUGGAAAAGAGAAAGGUAGAUGGUAGAAAUAACAUAUUUUAGUGAAAGAAGGAAUCCAUUUUAAACCAACUGGCUGUUUGCUUCCUUCAGCCCAAUGCAACAAUGAACUCCUGUUGUCAUGCUGAGUCAGUUGGCAGUGACUCAUUUUAUCAGUCUCAAAAUUGUCCAGCAUUUCAUCAGAACUGGAUUACACAAUGGGUUUUUCCUUUUCCCCCUCUUUUUUUUUUCCCCCCAAUACACUUGUAAUAUUAAUAGGCACACAAAUCAUCUGAUGUUAACAUGUUUCCUCAUUAACUUUUACUUUUUUAAUUAUAGGAUUGGUAAUCAUACAACUUCCCAAAGAGGGAAAUACAGAAAUCCCAAAUCUGACUUGAAAUUGUAAAGUACGAACUUUCUUAGUUAUUCACUUCUCUCUGUUAAAAAUAAAUUAAAGUCCUUUGUUACUUUCCACAGGAUACUGGCAUAGCUAACAUAUGCUCACAAUUGUUCAGCUGAGGUAUGUGUCCUCUAUUGGGUGUGGAGAGAAAAUUUGUAUGUGGAAACAGCAGCCAACGUGUCAGGGAUGAUUUUUGUCCACAGCAGGGCUUUUUCAGCCAUUUCUUCAAAAGCCUCUUGGAAAAAACACUCAAAUGUGGUAUUUUAUUCACUGAAACACUGCACAUGCGAUAUGAUUUAUUUAUGGGCAUAUUUAUUCCUUAAACACACACAAAAAAGCGUGUUAUGUAAAAUAUAAAGGGAGUGGUUCUGUAAUUAAAGCUUAAGAACAUUCUCCUGGUCUUCAUAGACUGAAAACGUUGGGUCUGUCAGGUUUGUAACUAACUCAGCGGAUCAGUGCACUUCACCAGAUUCUUUGAUUUUAGCACCUAUGCUGUUACACAGUUUCAAUCACAGUGAUAUGAAUAAAUUGAAAAUGUGUAAAAAGUGAUGCUGAGUUGGCUGGACAGCAACGCAUCUGUUCUAAAAUCCAGCAUUUCUAAGUCAACCAUCUUGUCUGCCCUAACAAAACAUCUGUAUUUUCCACCCACAUGAUUAAAUUAAUUGUGUUCAAUCAAAUCCACUUUCUAAUUGUAGAUUUAAGGCAAAAGGGUGGAUCUUCAGUUUUUAAUCUGAGAAAAUCCAAACUGUUUGGAAUAUGCUCCGUUUCUGUCCCAACCUAUACACCCUAUUCUGGGCUUAAUCCCAUCUGUCUGUGUUUGGACUCAGUCCUGAUGGCUGGGAAAUGGAAAGCUUCCAAGUGUCUUUGAAUAAUUUUUUAAUUUUGUUCUUCAGUGGUUCUAGCUCUUUGUUGUUAAUUAGAUCAAACAGUGUCUCCACCGAGGAUGUAACGGUAGUGUCAUCAGCCUGUAAUCUGUCAGGUCCCUCUGAAACCUCCUUCAACUGCUUUUGUAAAUUUAGUACCUCUCUGCAAAGUUCCUCGCUGAGUAAAAUGUGUGCUAUUUUUUUUUGAUCAAAGUCCUUCUUGUUCUCAGUGCAAAUUUCAGCCUACUUGUUGAUGCAGAUGUAGAGGCAUGUGUUCCUGAAAGCAGCACUGAGCGUCACUGGGAAUUGGAAGCAUCCAUCUGCCUUGUCCACUCACGUUAGCUGUACUGCUGGUGACCAUAGGCUCUACAGCACAAUUCUGGGAGGGUUUGCAAACUGAUUUUCUAACUCCAUUUGAUUGAAAUGCAGCACUGAGCAGCCACGUAGCAGAAGCAGAAGAAAUUGGUUUAAGUAUCCUUGUUUUAACUUUGUUUCUUGCUGUCUAACAAGUAAAGAGAUUGUGUUCAGGUAUUUCAUCUUUGUUCUUGGAUAGUGUCUUCACUAACACUGUAUCAAUGCUGUGGUUUUCAUUUUGGUGCAGAAUAAAAAGCAGCACGCAAGCACACAUUUCAUUGUCUGCAUGCUAGUGGGCAACAAUGUCAUUUAUCAUGUUCACCUACCUCUCCUGCACAGUUCAGUGCUGUUACUUUUUCUUGUCUUCUGCCUCCAUUUCUUCACUUGGAGAUUCUUGUAGUGGACAGUUGAAUUUACAAGUCUCUAAAAUAAAUGUUUCAAUCAUUGCUAUCAAUUGCUCCUUUUGUGUUCUUUUGAAGGCAAUAUCAUUAA